This is a long non-coding RNA of Homalodisca vitripennis (glassy-winged sharpshooter), 3367 nucleotides long. RefSeq lists it as uncharacterized. The record is from RefSeq and is a predicted model, not a curated record. NCBI's taxonomy places the organism in Eukaryota, Metazoa, Arthropoda, Insecta, Hemiptera, Cicadellidae. The transcript has 2 exons.
CAUGCAGUCACUUGUAAAUUUUAUGAAAAUGACCUUUCACAACACUUCGCACUUGACGAAAUGAAUAUUAUUAUGGGUUGGAAUUUUCCCGCUUCUAGAAACAAAUUUUGUAAUAUUUUCUUGUGUUUAUUGAAAAAAGUAUGUCCAUAUUCCUGUAUUGUCCAUUACAGUAUGUAUCUUGUUAAUUAUCUUACUUCGAGUUAAUAAGGAGUAGACUUGUUAUAUUCUAUAAACGGGUGUUGAGGUAGAAUAUAACCCACAGUCUCAGAUGAGUCAUGACAGUCUUUAGGUAUUGUACUUCUUGUUUUCCUUUUACAGAAACGAUGAUAAUGUGAAAUAUUUGCAGUGUGAUUACUGUUACAUUUGUGUCUGCACCAUCCACAGUCCAAGAGAAUUUUUGUUCUGCAUGAGUGAAAAAAUCCUUAAAACUCUACUUGAUUAUGACGGCAGAUGGCGUCUAGGAGUUAAGGAGUACCUUGCACUGAACCAACCAUAUAUCGCUUACUACUAAGUAUUGUACAUCUUUUCCCAUUAAGAGUUGUCGGGAUAUAUGUGGUAGAAUGUACAAUUGUUGAUGAAUCCAAAAGACACGUGUCGGCGGGUGUGACACUCAACCUCUUUAUUGUAAAGUUCUAAUGUAGGAGGUAGGAUCUGAAACACGAGGCAUGUUUGCAUAUGCUCACAUUGAGAGAGAAGGGGGUGGAGGAAGUACUCCAACUACAAGAUAAACCACUAAAAGUCACACAAUGCACUGUUCUAUCCAUUGUCACAACAAUGAUUUACUCUUCUGACUAGGUAUCAAAUAAGAUUUCACAGUGGACACUCAAAUUCACAAAUUUUUAGAGUGUUCUUCAAUGACUUGAGUGCUCUUCCUCUCUUCUCCCAUCUCUCUCACUCUAAUUGUAAGGGUAAGAAAAUUAUAUCUUGUGUUUCUGACGCUAUCUUUAUAUAAAAAAAACAUUAAAAAAUUAAUGCAACACAUAAAUAAUUAUCUGUUAUUUUGUAAAGUUUUGCUACAAAAAUAAAUUAUCUUCAUACAUUUUCCUUUUUUUUCAAAAUAUGAGAAAAACAUAUAGUGUGUAGGUUUUUAGUCUUCAAAAAUAGUGUCUGAAACAAGAGACUACAUAGUGUGUUUGCCCAAAAUUGUGAUGAGAGAGAGAUGUGCAGCAGCCAUGCAAGAAUAUUCAUCAUGUCUCGAAGGUGUAUAAUUUCUAAAAUACCAUAAUUCAUUUCCAGGAACAGAGGAGAGGUUCUCCUGUCCUCGUUGCCACAAAAGUUACAACAAGCGUGGCAACCUGUCCAGGCAUGUCAGGCUGGAGUGUGGGGAUACACGGUCAUAUAAGUGCCCUGUCGAGGGUUGUCCUUACGUUGGUAAACGCAAAUACUACAUGCUCGAACACAUCAGUAAACGACACCCAACAGCUCUGGCGACUGCGAUGGAAGAGAACUACUCAGAGGAGAGGAGCUACGUGGAGGUGAAGAUUUCCGCCACACGCGAGUGUGCCGAGUAUAUGUAGAGAGAUCAGUUUACUGGUGGGUCUCGCUGCUAUAGUGUGGAAGUUGAUGUUAAGAACGGUAAAAGAGAUGUGAAGAUAGUUUUAUAUUGUUCUUUCAAGACCAGAAAUGUAAUGUUAUCAAAACACCAAUGUUAUUUCAAUGUUUACACUUAAUGUCUCUUUCAGUAGAGUUGCAUUGUUUGUUUAAAUUUCACACUGUAAACAUACUGUUUUAAUCUGUCCCCUGGACACGAAAUUGUUUUAACUUUAAAAAAAUUACACUAGUCAAUACUCAAAAUCAACUAACCAAACAUUUUUAUGUUAGUAAGCUUAAAAAAAUGCAAUAAACAUUGAAAAUGUUUGUCUUUUUUAUGUUUUACAAUCAGUAUUAAUGUUGUUUCUUAACCGUUUAUACAGAAUUUAGGAUAUUUGUCUUUGUUAAAUGUUACAAAAAACUGGAACCUACAUUUCGAGAACUGUUAUUUUCCCUCUUCUUCAGGUGUCAAAAGUUAAAAUAUAGUGUUAAAUAUGAGCAUGGCAACACAAAAGUUGCACAUUAAAUUUUGUAGAUAAAACAGACAUAUUUGAUUUUAUGAGAACAAAAUUUCUGAUUGUCAAAUAUGAUACCAGUUCUGAAAGCAUACUGUCACAUUUAUUGCAACAAAUAAUGUUAUUAUCAUCAAUAAUAAGCUUUAAUCAUCAAAGUGCUGUAGUUGCACUCUUAUAUCUUUUCAUUUUAUCAUGUUACAAACAAAUGCUUUAUUCAAUAUUUGCAAUCUUUGUAAAGUAAAAAGUAGGAAAGAUUCCUCUAUGCACUGACAGAACUAAAAGUACUAAUUCAGAAGAUUAUAAGUUUGAGAAAUACAAGUCAGCUAAAUCAAUCAAAUGGCUUGAAUAAGCUGACUGUCAAAUUUUACAUUUUAAAAAACAAUAUUAUACCUCAUCAUUAGAACAUUUUUUUACUCUGCCAGCCAGAAUGAUAAUAUUUCUAAAGAAGAAUGGUAAGUAUUUUGUUAUUUCCUUCACCUUAUAGAGCAUAUGCUUCUAUAAAAAUUAUGUGUAAUACAUGGUACUUAAACGCAUUUUUGUAUUUAAAACUAUUUUUUUAACAUGUCAUAUGCUUGGCAAUGGACCAGCACUUCAAAGUGAUACAAACAGCACUUGGAGGGUGUAAAACUCAAUUGAUUAACUGUUUUUAUAGGAAAACUCUUGAUUUACUUCCAAAAGUGUAUAUAUAUAUAUAUCAAAGAAUAAUUGAUAUAUAUAUUAUCCAACUUGGUUUAUUUGGAUGAAUCGUGCACUUUUGUCUUUAACUACAUUGUUGGGCAUUUUAUAUUAGACACUGGAACAUUCUGUUCUAAUUUCCUGUAAUUGUAAGUUAUCAGUUCACUGACAUGUAAACCAUUAUGUAUAAAACAAGUAUAUCCUUAUUUUUGUGACAUUGUGUAUUUUACUAUGCUUCGAAUUCAACUUGCCACAUGAAGGAUGUUAAUUUUAAGUUACAUUUUGCUAUGGAAAAACACCUGAUGCACGUGUUUCUGUGAUAUAAUGUACAGCAUAUAUUUAUGUAUUGCUAUAAGAAUUAUUUAUGUAGCUAAUUAAUAAAACACUCCAUUACUGCACUAAUAGUAUUAAUUUGCUAAGCAAACUGAAAUUCCUUUAAAGUAAGUUUUUGCUAGUCAAGACAAAUAUUAAUAUUGUAAAACAUAUCACUCCUUGUGAAUUGCCAAUAGUUGAUCUCUUAGUUAUAUAUUUUUUAUUUAAAAUAUUUAUUCAUAAAUUUAAAUAUAGAUCACAUUAUGUUUAAUGUAAUCAAGACCUGUAUUUUUGCAUUAUUUAUUUGUUUGGAAAUAAAUUAUUAUUUAUUACAA